Molecule: ribosomal RNA, 510 nt
Filed under: uncultured bacterium
Lineage: Bacteria
Description: partial 16S ribosomal RNA
Rfam family: Bacterial small subunit ribosomal RNA
Source: RNAcentral
GACGAACGCUGGCGGCGUGCUUAACACAUGCCAGUCGAACGACGAGCGAUGGAAGCUUGCUUCUAUCAAUCUUAGUGGCGAACGGGUGAGUAACGCGUAAUCAACCUGCCCUUCAGAGGGGGACAACAGUUGGAAACGACUGCUAAUACCGCAUACGAUCUAAUCUCGGCAUCGAGGAUAGAUGAAAGGUGGCCUCUACAUGUAAGCUAUCACUGAAGGAGGGGAUUGCGUCUGAUUAGCUAGUUGGAGGGGUAACGGCCCACCAAGGCGAUGAUCAGUAGCCGGUCUGAGAGGAUGAACGGCCACAUUGGGACUGAGACACGGCCCAGACUCCUACGGGAGGCAGCAGUGGGGAAUCUUCCGCAAUGGACGAAAGUCUGACGGAGCAACGCCGCGUGAGUGAUGACGGCCUUCGGGUUGUAAAGCUCUGUUAAUCGGGACGAAAGGCCUUCUUGCGAAUAGUGAGAAGGAUUGACGGUACCGGAAUAGAAAGCCACGGCUAACUACGUG